Long non-coding RNA from Gorilla gorilla gorilla (western lowland gorilla), 2239 nucleotides. RefSeq lists it as uncharacterized. NCBI's taxonomy places the organism in Eukaryota, Metazoa, Chordata, Mammalia, Primates, Hominidae. The transcript is spliced from 5 exons. The record is from RefSeq and is a predicted model, not a curated record.
GUUAAAAAUAUUUUUUAAGCAAAGAAAGUGGUAUUUUAAAAGCAUUUAAAACAGCGCCUGGUAUAUAGUAAGCGCCAAAGAAGUCUGUUAAGAAGAAUGCAUAGGGCAAGAGAGCUCAGGGUUUUGAACGCUAUCAAAAUAAUAUGCUUAUUUAUCUGCAAAACACAAUAGCAAUUAGGCAGCACGAGAUUUCCCCAUUAGGUCGUUUAUUCUCCUCAGCUAUUUAUUCCAUUUGCCUGUCCCUUGGUUGAGCGCCUUGUCUGUCUAUGACCGAAAGUGCGUUUCGGGUCAGAGAGACAGAAACAGACACAGGAAACCCUUUAAAGCGCCCCCUCCGACUUAAAUACGGUAGUGGAUUGGAGGUGGGGAGGUGUAGGGGAGGCGUAUGUGGAGAGAAAGAAAAGAGAAAGAAUGAGGGAACGGCAGGAUUUCAAGCCUCCCCGCCCUUCUGCGACAACCUUUUCAGCGAAAGGGAAGGCUUAGGAAGAAAAGAUGUCCGCGCGUAGAGCAAACCGCAGUUCUUUCCUUUCUUUUUGAAGGAUUUGUACCAUAAGUUAAUUACACCAAAAGAUACGAGGGACUUUAUUAGAAAGGAGAUGCCGUUAGGAAAGAAAGGCCAGGACGGCCGAUCUAAAGGGAAUGGAGAAGGGAAGACUCAGACGCCUUCCCGAAAUUGGUGGUCUAGCCUGUGUUUUGUGCUAAAUGUUAUUUAACUUAAUGGCGUGGGAGUGAGAUGUUGAAUGCAGAGAUCUGGAAAUACCAGAUUUAGUGGUCCUGUUCCUCCCCCCCGACUCUUUUCACACCCAUUUAAUAAAAAGUUACAGUUUUUACACCCGUAGUGAUAAAUUUGGCGAUGUUGGCCAAGUAUUAUCUCGCCCCGCAGAUUUUGAAUUUUGUUGCACAAACCGAUGAAAUGAUUGCUUUGCUAUAAUUGUAAAACUUUUUUGGAACGAACCGGGAUUUUUUUAAUGCCUCUUGAUCUACUUUUUGCUUCAUUAGAGCCCUCUGGUUUUCCAAGACCGACUGUCACACUUUGUUAUUUGUUGCUUCUCUAAAUCCUUCGAGAUGCUGCUCGCAGCUACUUAAAAAACGUUGGCCACUCAGGUAUUUGAUGGGCUUAGAAAGUCACCAAGAUGUGACACCAUUUAAAAGUUUUAGCUUGGUUUCUCAGUAAAAUAAGGGCAUCUCUGUUAAUUAGAAAACUUUGUGUUAGUCUGAGAUGCCUACAAGCAUAGUCCAAAUUGAAAAUACCAAUAUUUUGCCACAUGUGAAAUAUCAUUAUUUACACAGCCUUCUCUUUCAAAGGGAGGACAAACGGGUUGCCUUGAGAAGAGCUAUUCUAUUUGCAAUUGCUGGGGCAGGUGACAAACACGUGUGUAUCUGUGGGCAGCCUUGUUGGGCUGCCUUCCCUGACUACAAGGCUUCUGUGAGCUGGUAACGCCUUAAAAUGUGUGAGAAUGCUGCGCCCUAGGAGUGGAGGCCAAGGGCAAGAUCCUUGUACAUUUCAAUACCUUUUCCAACAUCAGGCUGGCAGCAGGCAGGCCAACCUAGGGUCACUGUGUGACACAUAUUUGCAAGCCAGUAAAGCAAAACAAAGCUGAAAGCAAGUGCAAAUUUAGGCCCACCAACCUUGAAGUCAUCCCUGAAAGGGAGCUGCUUUACUAGUUAAUUUUUCUUGCCCAGUCAGCCACACAAAAUGCAUUGUAUUUCUUGGCUUGCCCCAGUAAUUGCGACUUACUUGUUACAGCAGAAGCUUCAAGAAUUUACACUCAUUGGAAUAAUAAAAUAGAAGUAAGCAACCGUGCAUUAAAAAGCUAUGAAAAGAUGAAGAGAAUAUGCCUUCAAAUGGGAAGGAAUACUUAACUGUGAAUAAGACCUGGUUCAACAUGGAACUUCCUGGUGGCCAAGUCAGAAGAGAGGCACAGAACAAAAACGGAGGCACAGAGAGGUCAAUUGGUUGGUCUAAUGACACAGAUCUAGCAAGUGGUGGAACCAGGACUGAAUCCAGGUGUGUGUCCGGAAUUGGUGGGUUCUCGGUCUCACUGACUUCAAGAAUGAAGCCGCGGACCCUUGCGGAACUGUGAAGACUAGAGUGACCUUGGAGAUCUCAUCUGGAAGAUGGUAGAACUGCUAUCAGCCUGGGUUCCCAAAUGACCUGCUGGAUCACAGCUACCCAUGGCCUGAAAUGUUGACCUUGGAGUUGUUGCAUAGGAAAGAAAUAAACUUCUUUGUUCUUUGA